GGAAAACUUUCUUAAAAAGUUCUCUGCUUUGGCAGAGAACUGGGACCUGGGGGUCAGACAGACCCAGAGGCUUGAUUCCUCUUUCUGUGCAGUCUGGGGAAAGUCAUGGGGGCUCAGUGUCCUCGGGGUAAAACAGUACUGUGACCCCUCAGAGUUUCACCGUGGGGACUGAUCCAGAUGAGCCCAGGGUGUAAGAACAGUCAAGCCUGACGCAUCUGUUUUAAUUCUCCUGGCCCCUGGGACUCCUGCAGGUCACAGGAAGAGAAGGUUUCUGCAUGUCCCAAGCAUUUCUGCAAGAGUUCCUUGCUGGCUGUGAGUAAACUGGGCGGGACGCUACCAGAUUUGGUAACCAGUGAUUAAAAAAGCAAGCAGGGAACAUUUAAGCACCUGGGUCAGGUUAAUGGGCCUUUGCUAGCUUUUUCCCUUGAAGGAAAAACCCAUUUAACCUACUAGACGUGGAGCACAGAGACUUCCUUCACCAUGACCACCAGACAGAAGUGUUAACAGUUACCUACCCAGCCAUCACAUCGGCCUGCAACUGCCAGCAAAAUCUCCUGUUCCUAAAGAUCAGGGAAAUUCCAAAUGACUUAGCAUCUCUAAUACAUCAUCAGUCAGGAGCUCCUGGGGCCCUGCUGGCAUCCCCCCACACACUCAUCUUGGAUCCAGCCCAAGAGAGAAGAUGGAGCAGGCAGGCAGUCUGGGCAGAAAAGCACCAGGGCUCAAAGCCCACAGUCAGAGAGGACAUCCCUCAGAAGGAGCUGGUGAGUGACCUAACCAUUCCCCACUCUCUUUCCCAUUAGCCUGUUUGAUUCUCAUGACAGCACCUGUUCCAUGUUCCCUGGCUUUACUUACUAGUAUGAUGCUUGACCCUCCACCGGACAUAAGCUCUGUGUGUAGGGACUCCUGAGCUGUGUCUGUGUCUCUAGCUCCAAGAACAGUGCCUGGCACAUAACAGAGACUCAAGUCAUGCUUGCUGAAUGAAUGGAUGGAUGGAUGGAUGGAUGGAUAGAUGAAAGGAAAUGAAUGAAUGGGAAGCAACAAUUCACAGAGCUGCCCACUCUCUUCUUGAUCUCUGCAGUAAUCCCUGGCUUUGCACAGAGCAUAAGGAAGCUGUUCAGGAGAUUCUCAUUAAAGCUGAAAAAGAGCAGGUGAGAACCUAAGUUCAGAAGCAGGGCUAAGAUACGAGUUAUAAAACAGAGGGAUGCACUAAAUAUCAUGGUUAGAAGCCCCAAGACCUGGCAUCAUAGUGUAGAGACAACUCUACACUAUGCUGAUAUACUAUGCAUCAGCUCUGUGAUGAUGUCCCAGGGCUGGGUUUUUGAAGACCAGAAAUAAUUGCAUAAGGACAGGAAGGGGUGGAAGAGAAGAAAAGAGAGGUAGAAAGGAAGGAAGCCAGGUACUAAGCUAAGAGUGCAGAGAGAGAGGCUGAGAGGAGAUGUGGGAUCCUGUUCAGAAUCUGUAACGUGUCCGUGGGCCCAGAUGCCGCCACAGCCCUAGAAGACAGACACAAACCUCUUUGGUGCCAAGGACAAGAGAAAGA
This 1540-nucleotide long non-coding RNA is filed under the name Mustela putorius furo (domestic ferret). Its description in RNAcentral is "lncRNA (ENSMPUG00000029055.1)". Lineage: Eukaryota; Metazoa; Chordata; Mammalia; Carnivora; Mustelidae. The record is from RNAcentral.